This 301-nucleotide ribosomal RNA is filed under the name uncultured bacterium. RNAcentral's name for it is "partial 16S ribosomal RNA". It matches the Rfam family "Bacterial small subunit ribosomal RNA", at positions 509 to 807 of the family's 1533-position model. The record is from RNAcentral.
CAGUCGCCGCGGGAAUACGUAGGUGGCAAGCGUUGUCCGGAAUUAUUGGGCGUAAAGGGCUCGCAGGCGGUUUCUUAAGUCUGAUGUGAAAGCCCCCGGCUCAACCGGGGAGGGUCAUUGGAAACUAGGAAACUUAAGUGCAGAAGAGGAGAGUGGAAUUCCACGUGUAGCGGUGAAAUGCGUAGAGAUGUGGAGGAACACCAGUGGCGAAGGCGACUCUCUGGUCUGUAACUGACGCUGAGGAGCGAAAGCGUGGGGAGCGAACAGGAUUAGAUACCCCUGUAGUCCCUGUCUCUUAUAC